Molecule: ribosomal RNA, 292 nt
Filed under: uncultured bacterium
Lineage: Bacteria
Description: partial 16S ribosomal RNA
Rfam family: Bacterial small subunit ribosomal RNA
Source: RNAcentral
GUGCCAGCAGCCGCGGUAAUACGGAGGAUGCAAGCGUUAUCCGGAAUGAUUGGGCGUAAAGCGUCCGCAGGUGGCACAUCAAGUCUGCUGUCAAAGCCCCCAGCUUAACUGGGAAGAGGCGGUGGAAACUGGUGAGCUAGAGAGCAAUAGGGGUAGAGGGAAUUCCCGGUGUAGCGGUGAAAUGCGUAGAGAUCGGGAAGAACACCAGUGGCGAAAGCGCUCUACUAGGUUGCAACUGACACUGAGGGACGAAAGCUAGGGGAGCGAAUGGGAUUAGAUACCCCAGUAGUCC